RNAcentral lists this ribosomal RNA (253 nucleotides) under uncultured bacterium. Its description in RNAcentral is "partial 16S ribosomal RNA". It matches the Rfam family "Bacterial small subunit ribosomal RNA", at positions 524 to 776 of the family's 1533-position model. The record is from RNAcentral.
UACGUAGGGUGCGAGCGUUGCCCGGAUUUAUUGGGCGUAAAGGGCGCGCAGGCGGUACGGCACGUCCGUUGUGAAAUCGCUCGGCUCAACUGGGCGGGGUCAGCGGAUACGGCCGCACUUGAGCAAGCUAGGGGGCAAUGGAAUUCCCGGUGUAGUGGUGGAAUGCGUAGAUAUCGGGAGGAACACCUGUGGCGAAAGCGGCGCACUGGACCACAACUGACGCUGAGGCGCGAAAGCUAGGGGAGCAAACAGG